This 420-nucleotide ribosomal RNA is filed under the name bacterium. RNAcentral's name for it is "partial 16S ribosomal RNA". It matches the Rfam family "Bacterial small subunit ribosomal RNA", at positions 355 to 776 of the family's 1533-position model. The record is from RNAcentral.
UGGGGGAUAUUGCACAAUGGGCGAAAGCCUGAUGCAGCGACGCCGCGUGGGGGAUGAAGGCUUUCGGGUUGUAAACCUCUUUCGCUAUCGAACAAGGCCCGCUUAGGGUGGGUUGAGGGUAGGUGGAGAAGAAGCGCCGGCUAACUACGUGCCAGCAGCCGCGGUAAUACGUAGGGCGCGAGCGUUGUCCGGAAUUAUUGGGCGUAAAGGGCUUGUAGGCGGCUUGUUGCGCCUGCUGUGAAAACGCGGGGCUUAACUUCGCGCGUGCAGUGGGUACGGGCAGGCUUGAGUGUGGUAGGGGUGACUGGAAUUCCAGGUGUAGCGGUGGAAUGCGCAGAUAUCUGGAGGAACACCGAUGGCGAAGGCAGGUCACUGGGGCAUUACUGACGCUGAGGAGCGAAAGCAUGGGUAGCGAACAGG